AAUCAACGCUGGCGGCGUGCCUCAGACAUGCAAGUCGAACGCGAAAUCUCCCUUCGGGGAGAAAGUAGAGUGGCGCACGGGUGAGUAACACGUGGGUAAUUUACCUUCGGGUGGGGAAUAACGUCUCGAAAGAGGCGCUAAUACCGCAUGAUGCAGCGGCACCACAUGGUGACAGUUGUUAAAGCGGGGAUCGUAAGACCUCGCGCCUGAAGAGAAGCCCGCGGCAGANAGCUAGUUGGUAAGGUAAUGGCUUACAAGGCAACGAUCUGUAGCCGGCCUGAGGAGGGCGGUCGGCCA
This 297-nucleotide ribosomal RNA is filed under the name uncultured bacterium. RNAcentral's name for it is "partial 16S ribosomal RNA". It matches the Rfam family "Bacterial small subunit ribosomal RNA", at positions 32 to 310 of the family's 1533-position model. The record is from RNAcentral.